RNAcentral lists this non-coding RNA (22 nucleotides) under Mus musculus (house mouse). The record is from RNAcentral. Lineage: Eukaryota; Metazoa; Chordata; Mammalia; Rodentia; Muridae.
UGUGAUGUGGUGAGAGCAGUGA